AGUGAACGCUGGCGGUAGGCCUAACACAUGCAAGUCGAACGGCAGCACAGUAAGAGCUUGCUCUUACGGGUGGCGAGUGGCGGACGGGUGAGGAAUACAUCGUGAUCUACUUUUUCGUGGGGGAUAACGUAGGGAAACUUACGCUAAUACCGCAUACGCCCUCCGGGUGAAAGCAGGGGAUCUUCGGACCUUGCGCGAUUGAAUGAGCCGAUGUCGGAUUAGCUGGUUGGCGGGGUAAAGGCCAACCAAGGCGACGAUCGGUAGCUGGUCUGAGGGGAUGAUGACGCACUGUGGAGCUGAGAGACGUCCCAGGCUCCGACGGGAGGCAGCAGUGGGGAAUGUUGGCAAAGGUGGGGAAGCCUGAACAAGCGGCGCCGCGUGGAUGAAGAAGGCCUGCGGGUUGGAAAGCCGUUUUCCGGGGAAAGAAAAGCAGCAGCUUAAUACCCCGCUGUUCGGACGGUACCCAUAGAAUAAGCACCGCCUACCUUCGU
This 491-nucleotide ribosomal RNA is filed under the name uncultured bacterium. RNAcentral's name for it is "partial 16S ribosomal RNA". It matches the Rfam family "Bacterial small subunit ribosomal RNA", at positions 29 to 506 of the family's 1533-position model. The record is from RNAcentral.